RNAcentral lists this ribosomal RNA (229 nucleotides) under uncultured bacterium. RNAcentral's name for it is "partial 16S ribosomal RNA". It matches the Rfam family "Bacterial small subunit ribosomal RNA", at positions 15 to 228 of the family's 1533-position model. The record is from RNAcentral.
GAUCCUGGCUCAGGAUGAACGCUGGCGGCGUGCCUAACACAUGCAAGUCGAACGAGAUGCGUAUCGGAAAGCUUCGGCCGGAAGAUGCGUUAUCUAGUGGCGGACGGGUGAGUAACACGUGGGUAACCUGCCUUAUGGAGGGGGAUAACAGAGAGAAAUCACUGCUAAUACCGCAUAAGCACACAUUGCCGCAUGGCAGAGUGUGAAAAGAUUUAUCGCCAUAAGAUGG